GACGAACGCUGGCGGCGUGCUUAACACAUGCAAGUCGAACGGAAAGGCCCUGCUUUUGUGGGGUGCUCGAGUGGCGAACGGGUGAGUAACACGUGAGUAACCUGCCCUUGACUUUGGGAUAACUUCAGGAAACUGGGGCUAAUACCGGAUAGGAGCUCCUGCUGCAUGGUGGGGGUUGGAAAGUUUCGGCGGUUGGGGAUGGACUCGCGGCUUAUCAGCUUGUUGGUGGGGUAGUGGCUUACCAAGGCUUUGACGGGUAGCCGGCCUGAGAGGGUGACCGGCCACAUUGGGACUGAGAUACGGCCCAGACUCCUACGGGAGGCAGCAGUGGGGAAUAUUGCACAAUGGGCGGAAGCCUGAUGCAGCAACGCCGCGUGCGGGAUGACGGCCUUCGGGUUGUAAACCGCUUUCGCCUGUGACGAAGCGUGAGUGACGGUAAUGGGUAAAGAAGCACCGGCUAACUACGUGCCAGCAGCCGCGGUGAUACGUAGGGUGCGAGCGUUGUCCGGAUUUAUUGGGCGUAAAGGGCUCGUAGGUGGUUGAUCGCGUCGGAAGUGUAAUCUUGGGGCUUAACCCUGAGCGUGCUUUCGAUACGGGUUGACUUGAGGAAGGUAGGGGAGAAUGGAAUUCCUGGUGGAGCGGUGGAAUGCGCAGAUAUCAGGAGGAACACCAGUGGCGAAGGCGGUUCUCUGGGCCUUUCCUGACGCUGAGGAGCGGAAGCGUGGGGAGCGAACAGGCUUAGAUACCCUGGUAGUCCACGCUGUAAACGGUGGGUACUAGGUGUGGGGUCCAUUCCACGGGUUCCGUGCCGUAGCUAACGCUUUAAGUACCCCGCCUGGGGAGUACGGCCGCAAGGCUAAAACUCAAAGGAAUUGACGGGGCCCCGCACAAGCGGCGGAGCAUGCGGAUUAAUUCGAUGCAACGCGUAGAACCUUACCUGGGUUUGACAUGGAUCGGGAGUGCUCAGAGAUGGGUGUGCCUCUUUUGGGGUCGGUUCACAGGUGGUGCAUGCCUGUCGUCAGCUCGUGUCGUGAGAUGUUGGGUUAAGUCCCGCAACGAGCGCAACCCUUGUUCACUGUUGCCAGCACGUUAUGGUGGGGACUCAGUGGAGACCGCCGGGGUCAACUCGGAGGAAGGUGGGGAUGACGUCAAGUCCUCAUGCCCCUUAUGUCCAGGGCUUCACGCAUGCUACAAUGGCUGGUACAGAGAGUGGCGAGCCUGUGAGGGUGAGCGAAUCUCGGAAAGCCGGUCUCAGUUCGGAUUGGGGUCUGCAACUCGACCUCAUGAAGUCGGAGUCGCUAGUAAUCGCAGAUCAGCAACGCUGCGGUGAAUCGUUCCCGGG
Molecule: ribosomal RNA, 1342 nt
Filed under: uncultured bacterium
Lineage: Bacteria
Description: 16S ribosomal RNA
Rfam family: Bacterial small subunit ribosomal RNA
Source: RNAcentral